AUACUUACCUGGCAAGGGAGAUACCGGGAUCAAGAAGGCGGUUCACCCAGGGCGAGGCUCAGCCAUUGCACUCCGGCUGUGCUGACCCCUGCGAAUUUCCCAAAUGUGGAAAUCUCGAUUGCAUAAUUUAUGGUAGUGGGGGACUGCGUUCGCGCUCGCCCCUG
This 164-nucleotide small nuclear RNA is filed under the name Salmo salar (Atlantic salmon). Its description in RNAcentral is "U1 spliceosomal RNA". It matches the Rfam family "U1 spliceosomal RNA". Rfam says of the family: U1 is a small nuclear RNA (snRNA) component of the spliceosome (involved in pre-mRNA splicing). The record is from Rfam by way of RNAcentral. Lineage: Eukaryota; Metazoa; Chordata; Actinopteri; Salmoniformes; Salmonidae.